This 559-nucleotide ribosomal RNA is filed under the name uncultured bacterium. RNAcentral describes it as "bacterial SSU rRNA". It matches the Rfam family "Bacterial small subunit ribosomal RNA", at positions 338 to 912 of the family's 1533-position model. The record is from RNAcentral.
CCUACGGGAGGCAGCAGUAGGGAAUUUUGCUCAAUGGGCGAAAGCCUGAAGCAGCAACGCCGCGUGAGGGAUGAAGGCCUUCGGGUUGUAAACCUCUUUUCUCAGGGACGAUGAUGACGGUACCUGAGGAAUAAGCCACGGCUAACUACGUGCCAGCAGCCGCGGUAAUACGUAGGUGGCGAGCGUUGUCCGGAUUUACUGGGCGUAAAGCGCGUGCAGGCGGUUCGGUAAGUUGGGUGUGAAAUCUCCUGGCUCAACUAGGAGAGGUCGCUCAAUACUGUCGAACUAGAGGAUGGUAGAGGGAGGUGGAAUUCCCGGUGUAGUGGUGAAAUGCGUAGAUAUCGGGAGGAAUACCAGUGGCGAAGGCGGCCUCCUGGGCCAUACCUGACGCUCAGACGCGAAAGCUAGGGGAGCAAACGGGAUUAGAAACCCCGGUAGUCCUAGCAGUAAACGAUGUGGACUUGGCGUUGGUGGGGUAAAAUCCAUCAGUGCCGGAGCUAACGCGGUAAGUCCACCGCCUGGGGGACUACGGCCGCAAGGUUAAAACUUAAAGGAAUUG